CAAGAGUGUAGUGGUCGCUGGCUUCCGAUAGCAGCGAUGGGGAUUAGUCGGCGAGUGCCCCACUUCAAGAAAACCCCGACAGCC
This 84-nucleotide small RNA is filed under the name Salinicola sp. MIT1003. Its description in RNAcentral is "Proteo-phage-1 RNA". It matches the Rfam family "Proteo-phage-1 RNA". The record is from Rfam by way of RNAcentral. Lineage: Bacteria; Pseudomonadati; Pseudomonadota; Gammaproteobacteria; Oceanospirillales; Halomonadaceae.